UUUAAAUAGCCGCGGUAAUUUGACUGUGCAAAGGUAGCAUAAUCAUUUGCCUCAUAAUUGGGGGCUAGUAUGAAUGGGAUUACGAGAGAUAUGCUUUUUUUAAAAAUAUUUUAGAAAUUGGUUUUUUAGUGAAGAAACUAAAAUUGUUAAAUAGGACAAGAAGACCCUUUUGAUCUUUACUUUUUUAUUUUUUUUAAAUAGAAAAAGUUUGGUUGGGGCGACCGAGGAAAUUUUUAUCUUCCUUUAGAUAUGAUGAUCCAAAUAUUUUGAUUUUAAGAAUAAGUUACCAAAGGGAUAACAGCGUAAUUUUUUUUGUGAGUUCUUAUUAAAAAAGAAGAUUGCGACCUCGAUGUUGACUUAUAGUUUCCCUUAGGUGUAGCCGCUUAGAGGGUGGGUCUGUUCGACCCUUAAUACUUUACGUGAGUUGAGUUCAGACCGGUGUGA
RNAcentral lists this ribosomal RNA (444 nucleotides) under Carcinonemertes sp. chaceon. RNAcentral's name for it is "partial 16S ribosomal RNA". It matches the Rfam family "Bacterial large subunit ribosomal RNA", at positions 1922 to 2624 of the family's 2925-position model. The record is from RNAcentral. Lineage: Eukaryota; Metazoa; Nemertea; Enopla; Monostilifera; Carcinonemertidae.